This 253-nucleotide ribosomal RNA is filed under the name uncultured bacterium. Its description in RNAcentral is "partial 16S ribosomal RNA". It matches the Rfam family "Bacterial small subunit ribosomal RNA", at positions 524 to 776 of the family's 1533-position model. The record is from RNAcentral.
UACGUAGGGUGCAAGCGUUGUCCGGAAUUAUUGGGCGUAAAGAGCUUGUAGGCGGUUUGUCGCGUCUGCUGUGAAAUUUCGGGGCUCAACCCCGAACUUGCAGUGGGUACGGGCAGACUAGAGUGUGGUAGGGGAGACUGGAAUUCCUGGUGUAGCGAUGAAAUGCGCAGAUAUCAGGAGGAACACCGAUGGCGAAGGCAGGUCUCUGGGCCAUAACUGACGCUGAGAAGCGAAAGCAUGGGGAGCGAACAGG